GAGUUUGAUCUUGGCUCAGAUUGAACGCUGGCGGCAGGCCUAACACAUGCAAGUCGAGCGGAUGACGGGAGCUUGCUCCUUGAUUCAGCGGCGGACGGGUGAGUAAUGCCUAGGAAUCUGCCUGGUAGUGGGGGACAACGUUUCGAAAGGAACGCUAAUACCGCAUACGUCCUACGGGAGAAAGCAGGGGACCUUCGGGCCUUGCGCUAUCGGAUGAGCCUAGGUCGGAUUAGCUAGUUGGUGGGGUAAUGGCUCACCAAGGCGACGAUCCGUAACUGGUCUGAGAGGAUGAUCAGUCACACUGGAACUGAGACACGGUCCAGACUCCUACGGGAGGCAGCAGUGGGGAAUAUUGGACAAUGGGCGAAAGCCUGAUCCAGCCAUGCCGCGUGUGUGAAGAAGGUCUUCGGAUUGUAAAGCACUUUAAGUUGGGAGGAAGGGCAGUAAGUUAAUACCUUGCUGUUUUGACGUUACCGACAGAAUAAGCACCGGCUAACUCUGUGACAGCCGCCGCCGU
This 517-nucleotide ribosomal RNA is filed under the name bacterium enrichment culture clone ALO1_GLFRUDD03FQYXK. RNAcentral describes it as "bacterial SSU rRNA". It matches the Rfam family "Bacterial small subunit ribosomal RNA", at positions 9 to 521 of the family's 1533-position model. The record is from RNAcentral.